CUUCCAUCUCCUCCAUUAGAUGAAGGAGCUUUCUUUGCCCCACAAACUACUGGGAUAGAGCUCUCACAGUUCUUUGAUGGCAUGGAUGACUUUGGAAAUCCUCGAAACAGUGGGGAAUUCAUCAAGAACCGUGAAAAUGGAAGAAAACCUUCAAUGGAGAAUCAGAAUAUCACAAAGCGAAAACAGCAGACUCCAAAUGAGGCAAUUGUUGUUGAAAGACGAUAAGAGUCAACAAAUAAGGAGGCGGGAAGCUGUCACAAAGCCAAAUAGGCCCUCAAAUGCUGAUUUUGGUCCUGGAAGACCUCCAAAACAAAGUGUUGAGCGAAAAGCAAACAAUGAUUCAAAGAUAAUGCGAAAAACAGAAAGGGUUGUGAGCCAGAGAAAGCCUCCAAGUGGUCAACAAGAAAAAUUCAAGUGUUCAGAUGAAGUUGCUGUCCAGAUGAAACUUGAAGCCACCAAAAGGAAACUCCAGGAAAGUUAUCAACAAGCUGAGAAUGCCAAGAGAC
Molecule: unclassified non-coding RNA, 506 nt
Filed under: Hevea brasiliensis (rubber tree)
Lineage: Eukaryota; Viridiplantae; Streptophyta; Magnoliopsida; Malpighiales; Euphorbiaceae
Source: RNAcentral